RNAcentral lists this long non-coding RNA (451 nucleotides) under Triticum aestivum (bread wheat). Its description in RNAcentral is "long non-coding RNA (TAES_LNC013984)". Lineage: Eukaryota; Viridiplantae; Streptophyta; Magnoliopsida; Poales; Poaceae. The record is from RNAcentral.
CGUUUGCCAGUGUUCUAUUCUUUCACUAGAAAUGCCUUCAUACAGACAACCCUAAGAAUCUACCGUUGUAUGCAACCAUGCAAGACAACGAAGACACAUGCCAGCAAAUGAUUCCAUGACACAAGUUCAUAAAUAUUUCAAACACCAGUCAUACAAAUGUAGAUGGCUACGCAGAUAUCUCACAAGGCACAGCCGCGAAAGCGAAAGCUUCUCGCAGCACCACCGGAGCAGCACAACAGGUAAAUGACACCCAAUCCAGUCAAAUAGCUUAAAAGGUUUGUGCACCGGUCGCCAAGCUGGUGCAAGUACUUAGAAUACCCUAGGCAAGCAAUAAAACAGAGUACAACAGAUACUUCGAUAUAGGUUUGCACAAUGGUGUUGAACAUCAUCACCAAUACUACUCACAGGUGCUUCAAGUACCCUCACGGUAACCACCCGGAUCUUAUCUUAG